ACAGCCUCAGCAAAGAAACAGAGUGACACAUCCACCUUCAUCUGGCUUUCCACCUUAUUCUUCCUAACCAGUAGAUGUAUUGGCUUACUUCUGCAGUAAUACAAUGGGGGCUGAAGUCCAGAUGUGUCUAGAAAAGGAAACACCACACACUCCUGACGCCUUACUGGGAGAAGCUUUCUUACCUGGAUCCAGUGCCCAGCUAUAUGACCAUCUGUGCUAUAUGAAGGUUUGUAUCCUCAAGGCAGCCAUAAUUCACACUAAUGUCAUGACACAAGCUACAACCAACAAUAGUAGAAAGGUUAUGUCAGCAUCGAGGUCACCUGCAGACCACAGAUGGCUGUUUCAUCUCCUACGUUGUUUAAUGCUAACGGCUGCAGCAAGUUUACAGGUCUCUGAUCCAACUCUGCAGCUGCAGUCCUGAAUUGGAACCGAUUGAAAGCACUACCUCAAGGUGAACAGAAAACUCUGCUUCAGAAAAAUAUCAGUGAGCAUUUAGGGACAACAGCAGCUAGAGCAGAAUGAUGACUUUUGAAGAAAACUAUGGGAUGUUAUUUUAAGGAGAAAGAAUAAUAUAUACUAGUCUCCAUAAAUUAACGUGAGGUAAUUUCUUCCUGAGUCCCCAAGGAAUGUUAUCACUGAAUGGUGAUAUCUGGAAAGGUCCUCCUGCAUUACUUGUCCCAACACAACCAAAGUGCUUGACUGAUAAGUAAAAUAGACAUUUCUUGUCUCAGGGAGAAGAAUGUGGACAUUGGAGGAGUAGAAGACAAACAAAGGCUGAAAGUGGAGGAAGAGAAGCCAAGAACAUUCCUUUUGCUAGUUAAUUUUUCUAAGGAUGUUUCAUAAAGGUUUUAAUUUAUAUGAAUAUAUGCAUUAUGGGUUAGCAUAAUUAUUCCCUAGUGUAAUUUAAAAUAUCCCAAAGGAUGCCAACUGACAAGUUACAUCUGAGCCUGUUGACUUUCCACUGUUAUUUUGUAGCAAAACAUGGGGAUAAGGUAAAUAGGCUUAUCUGCACAUCUGUAGCUAGAACCCAAUAUCUUUGCUUUAUGAGCAAAAAUCUUGCCUACUUACAAGUUUGCUCUGGGAACUGAUUAGAAUGGAAUGUCCACAAUAUUAAUGUAAGCAUAGGGUUCUUUCAGGAAUGUGCUAUCAGCUUACCUAUUGACUUUAUAAGAUGGAGGGGCGAACUGAAGCUGUUACUGGUCCAUGAGAAGAGAGGUACCAACAGCCUUCCAGUGCUUGAGACCUCUCCUAUUGCUUUCUUUUCUUUUAAUAAAAAGAAAAAAGAGUAGUACAGAAAUCUCUUGUUGGUUUGGUAAUAUCCUCAUUUUAGAGAGGCAUAAGCUUUCCUCUCUACUUAAUAUCAAAAAAUGUGGAAAAGUCAUUAAGUCAUUUUAGGUAUUUGUCAUCAGAUCUAGUGCCUCAGCCAUCUGCCUUAACAGCUCCUGAAACUGCUGAUAGUUGUCUGGAAGAGAUUAUAACCACUGUCACUGAAUCCUCAGAAGACACUGAAGAAGUCAGGCUAAUAUCAGUUUAUUUACAUAUCCUCACUCUUGUAACAUUAUCUAUAUCUAGCAGCUCAGAAAGGCUUAAACAGGGGUCAUGGUUCUAGCUCUGUAGGGGAAAUGGUACAAUAAGAUAAGAACUUGAUUUUAUAGGAAAGGAACAAUAACAGCACAAUUUUCACAAUUUUAGCUAACAGACUGACUUAACUUUCAGCUAACAGAUUGACUUAACUUCCCAUGUCCAUGGAAGACAAUGUGAAAACAGUCAGGCAGAAUCAGAGACACAGGGCAGGAGACAACACUGUGGUAUAAAUCUUUUAGAAUGGAGAUUUCAGACCAAGUUAGAAAUUGCACCACUUAAUAUCUGUCACGUGGGCUCUUCAGGAGACUCAGUAAGGCUGCAUUAGAUUUACCUCAUGGCAUACAGUAGGAAUUAAGUUCCCAAGAGCAGUGUCCAAGUGAGUGAAAGGCUGAUCAGUGAGUUUCACAGAGGCAACCAGUGGUGAGCAGGGAGCAAAACAGUGUCUAAAAUACGAUUUUUCUAUGAGACUAUAGCUCAGAAGUUUUCCUGAUGGUAGAUAGCUAUUGCCAUUCCUUCUGGGUGAGACUGAAUGACUUCUUUAAAAGCAAGUUGUGCCACAAGACAAUAAUGAUACCUGCUUCCCAUGGAUGUGUGCUGGUUUUGCACUAUACCUCUUUACAAUAACAAUUUGUUUCCCGCAAGUUUCUACAGCAAGUUUAUACAGCUAUGGCAGUAUAAACUAAGGCAUGUUUUGAUGCAUUGUAUCUGUUGUAUACCCCAUCAAGAGUUCUCUCAUCAUGGGCACGAAUUUGGACCUCUCCUCUCCA
Long non-coding RNA from Myiozetetes cayanensis, 2351 nucleotides. RefSeq lists it as uncharacterized. Lineage: Eukaryota; Metazoa; Chordata; Aves; Passeriformes; Tyrannidae. The transcript is spliced from 3 exons. The record is from RefSeq and is a predicted model, not a curated record.